Molecule: long non-coding RNA, 560 nt
Filed under: Mus spicilegus (steppe mouse)
Lineage: Eukaryota; Metazoa; Chordata; Mammalia; Rodentia; Muridae
Description: lncRNA (ENSMSIG00000025559.1)
Source: RNAcentral
AGAAACUACUCUGUUGUCAGCCUUUCCAGUAGCAAGAACUCUGGGUAUUCUUCCUAUAUCAGACUGGACAGCAUGUUUACAUAGCCUUCUUCAGUUUGACAAAGGGAAAAAGAAGGAUAUAAAGUGCCAAGCUGGACUUUCCAGAAAGUAAUAUGCAGUUUAGCUCUCAUCAGACCUGAAGUUUUAAAACAGUGUGACUCUGAAUACAGCUAAUUGUGAGAAAUAAUCGUCGACCUAUGAUGCAAACAGGAUGCUUUAGACGUGACUCACUUGACAGCUGAAGUGCUGCAACUAGACCACCAGGCAAAAUGAAGACCCUGUGUAUUCUAAACUUUUCAUACACUCAUCUGAAGCUCCACAACCAGCUGAUUCUGAUACGGAAAGAUUUCCAAGUCUCAGAAGAAAAUAAAACAAUUUAUAGCUGAUGAGAUGGUUCUAAGCUCUUCUGCAUUCCUCUGCAAACAAGUUUAAAGGCAACAAACCAGGUCACGCUUAGCCCAGUAAAAACCCUACCUCCCUUUUUUCCAAGUUUCUGUACUAGCUGCUUUCCUUAUCACUGU